UAAUUAUGUUCUAUAUUUAACUGACCUAUUUGAACAGGAUCCAGAGCUGGUGCGGAACAUCUGUCGCUGGGUUAGGCAAGCUGUUCAGAUUCCUUUUUUUGCCAAGUUGACCCCAAAUGUCACUGAUAUUGUAAGCAUCGCAAGAGCCGCAAAGGAAGGUGGUGCAGAUGGCGUUACAGCCACCAACACUGUCUCAGGCCUGAUGGGAUUAAAAGCCGAUGGCACACCUUGGCCAGCAGUGGGUAUUGGAAAGCGGACCACAUAUGGAGGAGUGUCUGGGACAGCGAUCAGACCUAUUGCUUUGAGAGCUGUGACCUCCAUUGCCCGUGCUUUGCCUGGAUUUCCCAUUUUGGCCACUGGUGGAAUUGACUCAGCAGAAAGUGGUCUUCAGUUUCUCCACAGCGGAGCUUCGGUCCUACAG
Galeopterus variegatus (Sunda flying lemur) is the source of this 421-nucleotide long non-coding RNA. RefSeq lists it as uncharacterized. The transcript has 3 exons. The record is from RefSeq and is a predicted model, not a curated record. NCBI's taxonomy places the organism in Eukaryota, Metazoa, Chordata, Mammalia, Dermoptera, Cynocephalidae.